AAACGUGGUCUCAGAAGUUGGGUAUCCCCCAUGCCCCUGCCAAAAGCACUCCAGAUGACAAAAAUCCACCACAAAGCUCUUUUUUAAAAAGAAAGAUUCUGAGAAGUUCCAUCAAAAGAAGAAAAGAAGAAAUGAAGGGAGGGCACUGUAGGGACAGUGUCUUGAUGUCAUAGUUAGAUCUUGGACUUUGAAGGCAAACUAGUGGGUUUGACUCUUGGCCGCAUGGUUAAUCACCUGUGACCUUGGGCAAGUCACCAGAAUCCUCCCUGUGUCAGUUUCCUCAUCUGCAAAGUGGAAUAAUGCCUUAAACAAGGAGGACCUUGUUUCUAUCUAUGAAGCAUGGCGAACAGUGCCUGGAAAAUAGGAUGGUGCCUUGAGUGAAUGACCCCAAGUUCUCCCCCUUGGAGAACAUUCUUCUGCAUCCCUCGCCUCAAGCCAGCCUCAGACAGAAAACUGAAGAUUCAGCAGAUCCAGUGCUUCCUGCUCCUCUUCUACUCAGGAACACGCUUGCCUUCCCC
Molecule: small RNA, 518 nt
Filed under: Pongo abelii (Sumatran orangutan)
Lineage: Eukaryota; Metazoa; Chordata; Mammalia; Primates; Hominidae
Description: processed transcript
Source: RNAcentral